This is a non-coding RNA of Hydra vulgaris (swiftwater hydra), 511 nucleotides long. Lineage: Eukaryota; Metazoa; Cnidaria; Hydrozoa; Anthoathecata; Hydridae. The record is from RefSeq and is a predicted model, not a curated record.
UCAUCGUUUAUAUUGUUUAUAACAUCGUCAGUUUUUAUAUGCAUUUAAUAUUUUUAAAAAUAGUUCAAAAGCUGUCAAAAUAAAAUGGUGAAUUGAGUUUAAACCAGAAAAGAUAUAAACGUAAUCUUUGGGAUUCAACUUGUAAGGAUGUUCCAAGAACCACUUAGUUGGAGAAGGAAAACUGUGCCGUUCAUUAACAAGUCCUGUGCUUUAUAAUAUAUUAAAAAAUGAAAGGACGUGAAGAAAACAGGCAGGAAUGUUUGACUGGAAAUAUAAACGAUGUUGUACAUAAUGCAGAUAGCUUAGGCAAAAAAGAGAUUGGUGAAAUGGAGAAUGAGACUAACGAGGGUGAAAAAAAAAUGAAUAUUGAUAUGUGAAUGGUACUUUGUUUAACAUCUACCUGUUUCUACAGAUACACUUCAGACACAUUUAUAAAUGGGCUUGAUGUUUUUUUGAAUUAAAUAUGUUGUAUUGAUGGUUUUUUUUAACUUGUUAAAACUUGAAGUUAUUA